This is a long non-coding RNA of Peromyscus californicus insignis, 3937 nucleotides long. RefSeq lists it as uncharacterized. The record is from RefSeq and is a predicted model, not a curated record. The transcript is spliced from 3 exons. Lineage: Eukaryota; Metazoa; Chordata; Mammalia; Rodentia; Cricetidae.
CUUUUUUUAAGACUGGCUUAGGUGCCAAGUACUAUUAGCUCCUGAGAUAUGGUUGAGUGGGGUGCCCUUCAGAAUGCUGCCCUUCACAUCAAACAAUCGAGGUUGACUUUGGAAUUCCUACAUAGCUGAAGAUGACUUUGAACUUGUGGUCCUCAAGAUUACAGGCUUGUGCCACCACAUCUGGGAUCCUGCAUGCUAAGCAAGCACUCUACCAGCUAAGUGACACCUUCGGCUCCUAUGCAGCGGUUUUUGAGAAUUAUACAAUUUUAAUUACAAUACAAUUAUAUCAUUCCUCCCCUCAGUCUUCUAUUCCUUUCAUGCUCCCCACCUCCACUCCUUCCCAAAUUCAUGGUCUCCUGUUCUUACACAUUGUUGCUACAUAUACACAUAAAUGAAUAAUCAUAGAAACAUAACUUGCUGAGUCUAUUCAGUGUUGCCUGCAUGUAUAUGUCUUCUGCUGCUUUUUAAUCGUACUUUGCAAUGUUAAUGCUUCGUUAACACCUCAAAAUCAGAGUUUUACAAAUUUGAUAUGAAUUUUGAAGUAUGUGAAGCAUUUCUUUGAAGAGUCUCUUCUGGAAAUGACUUCUCCUAAUUAAAAUGAUUUCUUCUUUAGGGUUUAGCUGAGAAGGAAUGAGGGCAAUUCUACACAUCAGGAAUAUGUCUGCUGACUUAUGGAGUGUUUGCUCGUGGCUUGAAGGUGAACAGGUUAUUAAUUUGAUAAUUAUUUAAAAGUUAGAAGUGCACAGGGAAGGAUCGAUUGGAAUUACAGUAGGGUCACUGGCAUUUUGAUACAGUCAAGGGAGGAAUCUCAGAGAGUCAAUUGGCUUAUGAGACAAGUAGGAAACGGAAGAAAAAGAGAAUGAAUUCAUUUUUUAUUUUAUCUAUUUUAUCUUAUUAUAUUAUUAUUAUUAUUUAAAACGAAUUUUAAAUUUAAUUAUAUUUUAAUUCUAUUCUUCCCUUCCAACAAGUCCUUCCAGAUUCUCUCCCCUUCUCUACUCACCAACUUUAAGUUCUUUCUAAAAAAAAACAAAACAAAAACCCAAUACAACAACAAACCCCCAACCAAGAAAACAAAAAGAAAAACAAACAACAACAAAAAACCAAAUACCAAACUAUAACCCAAUAAAAGCUCACAACAAAACUGUAGAGAUUAUUAUAUGUUGAUCAGCGACUCCUGAACAUGAGGCCUGCCCUGGAGUGGCUGAAAUACCCAGUGUCACUUCAUUGGAGAAAACUGAUUUUCUCUCUCUCAGCAGGUACAAAUGACAGUUAAGCUGUUAACCUUUACUUUAGUGGCUAAGUUUUCAUUCAUUCAUUCAUUCAUCCAUUCUUCAUUCAUUCUAUCACAUUGAAGUUGGACAGGAUUGUGGUGGUAUUGUGUUCCCCAAAAUAUUGUGCACCCUAAUAAACUUAUCUGGGGUCAGAGACAGGACAGCCACUAGAUACAAAGGCUAGAAAAUGGUGGCACUCACACCUUUAAUCCUACCACGCCAGAGGUAGAAAUCCCUCUGGGUCUCUGUGAGUUCAAGGCCACAUUGGAAAUGGCCAGGCAUGGUGACACACGCCUUUAAUCCCAGAAAGCGAGCCUUUAAUCCCAGGGAGUGGUGGUAGAAAGCAGAAAGGUAUAUAAGGCGUGAGGACCAGAAACUAGAAGCAUUUGGCUGAUUAAGCAUUUGGCUGGUUAAGCGUUUGGCUGGUUAAGCGUUCAAGCUUUCGAGCAGCAAUUCAGCUGAGACCCAUUCUGGAUGAGGACUUAGAGGCCUCCAGUCUGAGGAGACAAGACCAGCUGAGGAUCCGGCAAGGUGAGAUAGCUGUGGCUUGUUCUGUCUCUCUGAUCUUCCAGUGUUCACCCCAAUAACUGGCCUCGGGUUUGAUUUUAUUAAUAAGAACUCUUUAAGAUUCAUGCUACACAGGAUAAACCAAUAGAAGGAAAAGAGCCCAAGAAAAGGUGCAAGAAUCAGAGACCCACUCAUUUGUACACUCUGGAAUCCCAUGAAAACACUAAACUGGCAGUCAAAAUGCAGAAAACCUGGUGCAGGCCCAUGCAGCCCCUUGCUCAGACAUGGUGAACAGGUAGUAGCAUGGGUGCUACAAGGGGAGGUUCCACCGAGAUCUGAGAAAGAAGGGACAUGCUGAAGGACACCCGAAGAAAGGCUGGUCAGCAUUUUAAAAGGAGGUAAGAGUGGGUGAAUUGUUAUGGGUACAGCUGGUUUGCAGUUGCUCCUGGAGGAGCAGUUAAUUGAACUGCUGAAGCAACAGGGAACCACCAUUAAGAGCAGGAUGGCUAAAGUUUUCAUUCAGAUUCUCCAGAAUGUUAGUUCCUGGUUUCUGGUCUCUGGGAGAUUUAAUAUACCAGACUGGGAACAUGUUAAGAUUGAAUUACAAAAAUGCUUGCAUACAGAAGGGCCUGAUUCCAUACCCUUAGCUACUUUCUCUUUGUGGCGCUUGGUUAAAGAUGCAUUGCUUAGUGAUAAUGUCAAAGUUCAAGAACAAUUAACUGAAGCUAAAGCUGUGUUGGAAAAGGCUCAGGUAGAGGAGGCUCUCAGAUCCUUCAAACUUCCGACAUUUCUGACUCUGUAGAGUCAUCUUCAGAGGGUGAUGAUGUAGAAGUCAGAUUAGAAAAGGAUACUAGAUGCUUCAGGAAUUAAAGCUAAUGAAGUAAAAAUACUAAAUCCUGAAAAUGCUUUUUCUUAAAGUAAGCUAAUGAAGGAUAUGUUUCAUGAAAAAAUAUCUAUGUUCUUGACUCCUUUGAAUAGUAACAGUUUUGGUGAAAAUAUUGGAACUAACAACAAUCAAGUCUAAAUGUUUCAACAAAUUCAAGACGCUAUUUACAAAAGAAAGCUGCCAUGCUUUGUAGGCCAUAUUAGAGCUCACUCCAAUCUUCCUGGUCCUGUAGCUGAGGGUAAUGCAAUGGCUGAUAAGUUAACCAAGAUAGUAGCAUUAUCCCAAGUGGAAAUGGCUCAACAGUCACAUGCUCUUCAUCAAAAUAGCAAAAGCUUAAGAAAGCAAUUCAAUCUUACUAAAGAAGCAGCUGGUCAAAUAGUUAAACGAUGUGGGGUAUGUCCAAAAUAUUUUCCUGCCCCUUACUUAAGGGUAAGCCCUAAAGGUCUUCUUCCUAAUUAUCUAUGGCAAAUGGAUGUUACUCAUAGAGCAGAAUUUGGCAAAUUAAGAUAUGUACAUGUGACCAUUGACACUGGUUAAUGCAAACAGUGAGGAAAUAGAGUUCAAAAGCUGUGCUGCUUUUGGCUUUACUAGCUCCUUUAGAAAAAUACUUUAUAUCACCUAAUAGCUGUGCAGUAUUUUGUGAAGAGCUUUAUAGCAGCUAAAUACAGUAAUUUCACCCUCAGCAUGAAGUGAAGGUUUUCAGUAGAACAAACCAAAAGUACUGCUGUAAUAGCAACUUUUGUCUGAAUUGAAGCACUUAGGGGAGCUAUUAUGAAUCUGGGUGAAGGGACAGCCUCUAGUUAAAAACUGUUUACUGCUGACAGUGCAUCUCUGCCAAUUCUGGAACAGCUGAGAGAACUUGGCAACUUUGGGGUGUUGCUUCGUCUGGAGAAUGGUACAGUCCUCUAGCAACAAGUAUCACAACUCUAUAAUGACAACACUUACUAAAUCCCAGUGUUGUAUAGCAAAGCUGACGAUAAACUCUAAACUUUAGAAAUGAUAUACAUACUUUCUGUCUAGUUAAGAGAAUCUUUCUAAUAGAGAUAGUGAUAAUAAUUAAGAGUACGAAGUAGAAAAAGCUGAAAAGAUAUGUGAAUUCGUAGUAAUAAUUCUGUCUUGUUAGAUCUGUGUUAAGAAAUCUUUAGGUGUUUGCUGAGUUAGAUAUAUGCUAAUGAUAGCCCUAUAUAAGUUUGUAAAAUAGAUCUAUAGAGUUUCUUUAAGAAUAUAAGCUUGAAAGAAGUAUCUUAAGACAUGUAGUAAUAAGCUUGUAAGA